AGGACGCCUCGCAGCCCAACAGCAAUGGAAGCGGCAGCCAUGACAGCUGGCCCUGUAAGGAAUCUCACAGCCAUGGCAAAAGCUGCAAUGGAAUUCCCACAUGCAAUGAUCCUCGGUUGCAAAGCCAUGAACAGCCCUGUCCAAAGCUGAACAUGGCCAUGCCAAGACCUGCAUCCGACAGUAUAGAAAUGGACUUUGCUAUAAUGUCAGGCAUACGGACGUUCCACCUGCAAGCAGUAGUAGCACAACUCUGCCAUUAGAUUAGAUUAAUAAGCUCACGCAGUCUGAGUCAUAAAUCAUGGAAGAUUGAAUGGAAUGGAAAUUAAUUAA
This is a long non-coding RNA of Telopea speciosissima, 330 nucleotides long. RefSeq lists it as uncharacterized. Lineage: Eukaryota; Viridiplantae; Streptophyta; Magnoliopsida; Proteales; Proteaceae. The transcript is spliced from 2 exons. The record is from RefSeq and is a predicted model, not a curated record.